GUACGAUGAUAUCACUCGAGGAGGAGUUCAGCCCGAACGGGGCCCUUUGCAGAACUACAUGGCACAACAACUCGGACGCCUCGCUAACGAGGCUGGUAUGGCAAUGGCUCAUGCAAACGAAGGAGACAAUGCCGGGGGGGCACUUUAGGGCAUUUGUCGAGAGAGUCCGUCGGAGCUGCAGGCAGAUGGCCGGUAGGCUCAAUUGCAUGGCUCGGCCAGACGAGGCGUUUGGUCUAGAGGCCUCUGGUGCGCGAACUUCAAGUGCACGUGGCCCCACUUCCAGCAUACGGACACCGAUUCACUACGGUGCCGCAACCGCUACAACUCCUGGGCAUUCUGGUUCGAGAAGCCGUUCAAGGACCACUUCCAGGACUAGUUCACAUGCCUUGUCAAGGGGCAAAGCUAUCCAGUCAUCCGAAGGCAGUGAAGAGUCCGACCGCCAAGGCGACUCAGAAGAUGAGGACCCAAGCUUUCAGGUGCUUAGGAUGUCGCAGAUGUUUGAUGCUCCCCUAGGAAUGCAGA
Long non-coding RNA from Panicum virgatum (switchgrass), 522 nucleotides. RefSeq lists it as uncharacterized. The transcript has 3 exons. NCBI's taxonomy places the organism in Eukaryota, Viridiplantae, Streptophyta, Magnoliopsida, Poales, Poaceae. The record is from RefSeq and is a predicted model, not a curated record.